AAGCAUGGCUAUUUAUUUAUUUUUGCUAUUUGGGGGCAUUUUAAAGAAUGGUUACGAUUUCUUUGGAAAUUUUUAAAAAGAUCAGUCAAUUUCCAUUGAAGGAUCUAUGGGAGCGUUAGUGGCCUGUUGUUGUUAUUGUUGUUGUUGUUUGUUGUUUUAAUACCAUCGAUUUACAACCAAACCCCUCAGCUUGCCAUCUCAGUGACUCUUUGCCAUUUCGGCAGCAAAUGCACACAGCAGUGAAAUCAACCCCCACUAAUGUGUUGAUAUCAAAUUGAUUUGGGGCUAACUUUUAGCUGUGCUGCUCAGCUGCAGGAAAGGACAUUUGUGCUGGGCUUGUAUGUGCGUGUGUGUGUGUGUGUGUGUGUGUGUGUGUUUAAAAAAGCAAUGUGACAUCUGCCCAUACUGAUAGCACACACUGACACGUUCAUCGCCUAUUUCAAUUCACCUGACGACAAUUAAGUGACAUUAAAGAACAAGCCCUCCUCAGAUUCUAAUUUUUCCUGACGCUGUGUUCAAUAUUGUAAUAGAUGGUGCCAAUAGAAGUUUGUCUCACACAGCUUCUUCCCUUUUCUUUCUAUAAUCUUCUUUAAUAAUUGCUGCUGGAGCCAUUCUCCUCCUUGAAUGAAGGACAGGACAGAAAACAACAUAGAAAAGACACCCAAGUGGAAUCAAGAGAAACAUCAAUUGGUUAAAAGGUUAGGCUACCUGAUGGCUCAUAGACAGAAACCUGAGCUGCAGCUCUCUCACAGCUGGAGAGGAAAUUUAAGAAGUCAGUGAAGGCUAGCUGUAACAGGUGCAGCUGCAGCUAAGCUCCACAGUGAUGAAAAAACCUAGGAUCUCUCUCUGGGACCAGAAAGAGGAAAGUUUACUAAAAUGUAUAAAGGACUGAACCAUAUUGGCUGGUACUUGAGAGCAACUUGUUACUUUAUUAUUUUGUAACAUCUAUCUUACUGUAACUAAUAUUUAAGAUUAUUCUGCAGUAAAGUUUUGAAACUCA
Non-coding RNA from Podarcis muralis (Common wall lizard), 1000 nucleotides. The record is from RefSeq and is a predicted model, not a curated record. Lineage: Eukaryota; Metazoa; Chordata; Lepidosauria; Squamata; Lacertidae.